This 29-nucleotide small RNA is filed under the name Bombyx mori (domestic silkworm). Its description in RNAcentral is "piRNA piR-bmo-1461597". The record is from RNAcentral. Lineage: Eukaryota; Metazoa; Arthropoda; Insecta; Lepidoptera; Bombycidae.
UGAUUUAAAAAGAUGUGGCACGUCAUAUA